Molecule: ribosomal RNA, 253 nt
Filed under: uncultured bacterium
Lineage: Bacteria
Description: partial 16S ribosomal RNA
Rfam family: Bacterial small subunit ribosomal RNA
Source: RNAcentral
UACAGAGGUCCCAAGCGUUGUUCGGAUUCACUGGGCGUAAAGGGUGCGUAGGUGGUGAGGUAAGUCGGAUGUGAAAGCUCCGAGCUCAACUCGGAAAUGGCAUUGGAAACUACCUUGCUCGAGGGUUUGAGGGGGGACUGGAAUACUUGGUGUAGCAGUGAAAUGCGUAGAUAUCAAGUAGAACACCAGUGGCGAAGGCGAGUCCCUGGAAAACUCCUGACACUGAGGCACGAAAGCUAGGGGAGCAAAUGGG